Molecule: ribosomal RNA, 497 nt
Filed under: uncultured bacterium
Lineage: Bacteria
Description: partial 16S ribosomal RNA
Rfam family: Bacterial small subunit ribosomal RNA
Source: RNAcentral
GAUGAACGCUGGCGGCGUGCCUAAUACAUGCAAGUCGAGCGAACAGACGAGGAGCUUGCUCCUCUGACGUUAGCGGCGGACGGGUGAGUAACACGUGGAUAACCUACCUAUAAGACUGGGAUAACUUCGGGAAACCGGAGCUAAUACCGGAUAAUAUAUUGAACCGCAUGGUUCAAUAGUGAAAGACGGUUUUGCUGUCACUUAUAGAUGGAUCCGCGCCGCAUUAGCUAGUUGGUAAGUUAACGGCUUACCAAGGCAACGAUGCGUAGCCGACCUGGGAGGGGGAUCGGCCACAUGGGAACGGGGACACGGUCCAGACUCCUACGGGAGGCAGCAGUAGGGAAUCUUCCGCAAUGGGCGAAAGCCUGACGGAGCAACGCCGCGUGAGUGAUGAAGGUCUUCGGAUCGUAAAACUCUGUUAUUAGGGAAGAACAAAUGUGUAAGUAACUAUGCACGUCUUGACGGUACCUAAUCAGAAAGCCACGGCUAACUACGUG